GUCCAAAUGAGAUAAGACUUGAAGCAUUGGAAAGCAGACUCGACAAGCUUUCCAUCAAGUCCUCAUGGGCCUUCAUAGCUUUUGUGAGUAAAAGGUUAUGAAGAUUUCUUUGCACUGGUCCGUUCUUGACUUCCACUGGUCCGUUUUUGACUCUCUGGUCUGUUUUGUAGUGUCUUCUAGGACUUGCACUGGUCCGUUCUUUAGGGUCCGAUUCAUCAUUCUCUUCUUCUAUAUACCUGAGUAUAAUCAAGGUAGAACACUUAGGUAGUAUAUAACACUCAUUAAUGUUAAAGUGAACCUCACAAAGUACCGCGUGG
This 317-nucleotide long non-coding RNA is filed under the name Sorghum bicolor (sorghum). RNAcentral's name for it is "long non-coding RNA (SBIC_LNC010388)". Lineage: Eukaryota; Viridiplantae; Streptophyta; Magnoliopsida; Poales; Poaceae. The record is from RNAcentral.